Lampris incognitus (smalleye Pacific opah) is the source of this 364-nucleotide long non-coding RNA. RefSeq lists it as uncharacterized. The record is from RefSeq and is a predicted model, not a curated record. Lineage: Eukaryota; Metazoa; Chordata; Actinopteri; Lampriformes; Lampridae. The transcript is spliced from 3 exons.
GGACAUUUGAACUCAACCCCAACUCAACCCCAUAACGUGUUUCUGCAAGACCUGCUAAAAUGUCCUCUAUCCGCAUCGUGUGUUGGGAGAGGCGUGCCAAAGCGUCGGUAUUUGACGACCGAAAUGGUCAAUUAAGGUUUUGGGGCAGCCGAAGUGGAGGCUUGGCACAGAAAACCCUAUGGGGAACAGACUCAUCUCUCCCCCACAAAUCCCAGGCCAGCAGGAACCUGUCAAGGUGUACAUUUUUGAAGAAGGCCCUGUGAUGGCCUGGCGGCCUGUCCAGGGUGUCUCCCCGCCUGCCACCCAAUGACUGCGGAAAUAGGCUCCAGCAGCCCCGCGACCCUGAGAGCAGGAUAAGCGGUUC